This is a long non-coding RNA of Magnolia sinica, 1383 nucleotides long. RefSeq lists it as uncharacterized. The transcript is spliced from 4 exons. Lineage: Eukaryota; Viridiplantae; Streptophyta; Magnoliopsida; Magnoliales; Magnoliaceae. The record is from RefSeq and is a predicted model, not a curated record.
UGCAUCCAAACAUCUGGAUUGAAGAAUCGAAUGAGGUGCUGAAGAUGAGAUGAUCCAUCAAGUGGACAAGGUUCCAAUUAGAUAUUGAACCUUGUUGAUGUUCAGUGUCAUAUAUGAGAUGAUUUCAACAAGAACAAUCCCCAAUGACUCGAAGAAAGAUUCUAAUAGACCUUCAAUGAAUGCUUCUACAGAAGCAAUUCGUGAGAAUUUUAGUAUACUAGUAGAAUGGGAUCUUUUUAUUAAAAUUUUGACCAAUCGGAGAAAAAAUGUCUCAAAUUAUUUGGCUAAAUGGAUGGACCUCCACCAUUUUCUUUGAAAGCAUUCCUCAACAGCAAAAUGAUGAUGGUGUUUGAACUUACUGCUAACAGGCAGUUCCAGGUUGUUCCAUUCUCCCCAGUCUCCUUGGGCUAUAUUCAUGGUUUGCGGUGUAAGCUUCUGUCAUGGGAGAAUAGUUCUCAAAGGCCUGCAAUGUGUAAAGGCUAGACGGCUAGGCCAUGUAUGUGUUCGUUUCUUCUUGUCAUUUGGUCAAGUGUGCCUUGUCCUUCUUAACUGGCCAAAUGAUGUAUUUGGUAAUGUUGUUUAAGUUAGCUCGUUGUUGUUGUUGUUGUUGUUGUUGAUGACGAUGAUGAUGAUGGUGCUUGUGUUUCAUGCUAUCCUAUAUUAGACAUAUUUCAUGCCUGCAUGCUGUUUCAUGCUAUCCUAUAUACUGACAGUUUUCUUGUACUCCACAAACUUCUGCAUAUGUCUAUUUGAUAACAGAUUUUUGCCCAGGUGGGGAGCUAUUUGCUUUGCUUGACAAACAGCCUAUGAAGAUUUUCAAAGAGGAAGCUGCAAGUUGAUAAUUGGAUACUCCAAGGUUGUUCUUGCAUAUCUUUUGUAGCCAUGGUCACAAAAAUACCGUGCUCUAUGUCAAGUGGAAUCAAAAUGGUGACUGGGUGCUAACUGCCUCUAAGGAUCAAAUCAUUAAGGUUUGUGUUACUGCCACUACUAAAGCCAUUAUUUGUUGCUACCUUGAUUAAGAUUUUUUUCCCAUCUUUUCAUCCUUUCCAAAUCAUGUUUUCUCUCAUUCUUUUCUUUUAAGGGAACCAUAUUUUAUAGUUCUUGUAACCAACUGUUCUAUGGAUUUUUUAUUUUUUUUUUACAGGAUUUAUGUUGGCAUUAUCCAUAAAUUUUGUUAGCUAGAACUUUAUUUUACCAAAUUGUUUCAUUUUUAUGGAUAUUUCUACAUCUAAGAUUCUUAUUACUAGGAAAUUUGCACUAAUCUAAAAUCAUACUUUUAGUACUAUUUAUAGAUUAUUGUUGCUUCAAGACCUCCCAUUUGAAAUGCAUUAUUGUUUUAUAAUGAGCCUCCUGGUUAGGAAACUUGAUGCGAUCUUCCAAUGC